This 253-nucleotide ribosomal RNA is filed under the name uncultured bacterium. RNAcentral's name for it is "partial 16S ribosomal RNA". It matches the Rfam family "Bacterial small subunit ribosomal RNA", at positions 524 to 776 of the family's 1533-position model. The record is from RNAcentral.
UACAGAGGUGGCAAGCGUUGUUCGGAUUUACUGGGCGUAAAGCGCGUUCAGGCGGUUUGACAAGUCGGGCAUGAAAUCUCUCGGCUCAACCGGGAGAGGUUGUCCGAUACUUUCAGACUUGAGGGCAGUAGAGGGUGGUGGAAUUCCACGUGUAGCAGUGAAAUGCGUAGAGAUGUGGAGGAACACCGAUGGCGAAGGCAGCCCCCUGGGCUAACACUGACGCUCAUGCACGAAAGCGUGGGGAGCAAACAGG